AUUGAACGCUGGCGGCAGGCCUAACACAUGCAAGUCGAACGAGUGGCGGACGGGUGAGUAAUGUCUGGGCAACUGCCCGAUGGAGGGGGAUAACUACUGGAAACGGUAGCUUAUACCGCAUACCAUCGGCUUUGCCCAGAUGGGAUUAGCUUGUAGGUGGGGUAACGGCUCACCUAGGCGCCGAUCCCUAGCUGGUCUGAGAGGAUGACCAGCAACGCUGGAACUGAGACACGGUAAGGACUCCUACGGGAGGCAGCAGUGGGGAAUAUUGCACAAUGAGCACAAGCCUGAUGCAGCCAUGCGGCGUGUGUGAAGAAGGCCUUCGGGUUGUAAAGUACUUUCAGCGGGGAGGCGUGACUCGCAGAAGAAGCACCGGCUAACUCCGUGCCAGCCGCCGCGGUAAUAC
This 406-nucleotide ribosomal RNA is filed under the name uncultured bacterium. RNAcentral describes it as "partial 16S ribosomal RNA". It matches the Rfam family "Bacterial small subunit ribosomal RNA", at positions 30 to 526 of the family's 1533-position model. The record is from RNAcentral.